CACGUUUCUGCGAGUGUGGACUUCUGUUUCACUAUAUGUCCCCACACACACACACACACACCCAACCCCUCUCCUCUAAUCGCCUUAUGCUUUCACUUUUCCUCCCAGGAAGUGAUUUACUGUCAAACACAUUCCAACAGCCAGCCAGCUACAGACACUGAGCUAUCCCAACACACCGGGGCUUUUUGGAUUUCCACAUCUUUUCUUCGCUUCCACAUGUCCUCACUCACUCUUUUCUUCGUCCCCUCUUUGUCCCGACGUGUUUUUCCUCCUCUUCCCUCCUGCCUCUGCAUCCGAGUUGGAAACAUCCUGCAUAUCGACAAAGACACAGCUGGUGUGGGUCUGCACGCGGCCCGGCUGAUCCAGCUUUAUUUCUGCCCCUCUCCUCGUGACGCAGCCGAGCUCUGGAGCAGAUGGCUGCAGUGUUCAAUUGAAUUCUGCCAUUGUGCCGCUCGUAAUUGGUGCUCGCGAGCAAGUGCC
Molecule: long non-coding RNA, 480 nt
Organism: Gasterosteus aculeatus aculeatus (three-spined stickleback)
Lineage: Eukaryota; Metazoa; Chordata; Actinopteri; Perciformes; Gasterosteidae
Source: Ensembl